Scleropages formosus (Asian bonytongue) is the source of this 46-nucleotide regulatory RNA element. It matches the Rfam family "Histone 3' UTR stem-loop". From Rfam's summary of the family: The mRNAs of metazoan histone genes lack a poly-A tail. 3' end processing occurs at a site between a highly conserved stem-loop (modelled by this family) and a purine rich region around 20 nts downstream (the histone downstream element, or HDE). The record is from Rfam. Lineage: Eukaryota; Metazoa; Chordata; Actinopteri; Osteoglossiformes; Osteoglossidae.
CCAAAGGCUCUUUUAAGAGCCACCUAUCUAUUCAUUUAAAAAGCAA